This 253-nucleotide ribosomal RNA is filed under the name uncultured bacterium. Its description in RNAcentral is "partial 16S ribosomal RNA". It matches the Rfam family "Bacterial small subunit ribosomal RNA", at positions 524 to 776 of the family's 1533-position model. The record is from RNAcentral.
UACGUAGGGUGCGAGCGUUGUCCGGAAUUAUUGGGCGUAAAGGGCUCGUAGGCGGUUUGUCGCGUCGGGAGUGAAAACCUCGGGCUUAACUCGGGGCUUGCUUUCGAUACGGGCAGACUGGAGGUAUGCAGGGGAGAACGGAAUUCCUGGUGUAGCGGUGAAAUGCGCAGAUAUCAGGAGGAACACUGGUGGCGAAGGCGGUUCUCUGGGCAUGACCUGACGCUGAGGAGCGAAAGUGUGGGGAGCGAACAGG